RNAcentral lists this ribosomal RNA (706 nucleotides) under Dentiscutata heterogama. RNAcentral describes it as "partial 18S ribosomal RNA". It matches the Rfam family "Eukaryotic small subunit ribosomal RNA", at positions 329 to 1050 of the family's 1831-position model. The record is from RNAcentral. Lineage: Eukaryota; Fungi; Glomeromycota; Glomeromycetes; Diversisporales; Gigasporaceae.
UAAAGCAGAUAUUGAUCCAAACUUCCCGACGUUCAAUAGGGAUUCGAUUCCGGAGAGGGAGCCUGAGAAAUGGCUACCACAUCCAGGAAGGCAGCAGGCGCGCAAAUUACCCAAUCCCGACACGGGGAGGUAGUGACAAUAUGUAACAAUAUACGGCUUUAUAGGUCUUAGAAUUGGAAUGAGUACAAUUUAAAUCCCUUAACGAGGAACAAUUGGAGGGCAAGUCUGGGGCCAGCAGCCCCGGUAAUUCCCGCUCCAAUGGCGUAAUUUAAAGUUGUUGCAUUUAAAAAGCUCGUAUUUGGACCUUGGACCUGGACGGGCGGUCCCCCCCACGGCGAGUACUGUCUUGCUGGGCCUUUCCCCUUGGUGAUCUGUUGUUUCGGCAGCAGGGAACCAGGACCUUUACUUUAAAAAAUUUAGAGUGUUCAAAGCGGGCUCAACCCCGGAUUAUUUUAGCAGGGAAUAAUAAAAUAGGACUUGCGGUUCUUUUUUGUUGUUUUUUGGAAUCCCCUUAAUGAUAAAAAGGGACAGUCGGGGGCAUUAGUACUCACAUGCUAAAGGUGAAAUUCUUGGAUUUUUUGAAGACAAAUUUUCUGCGAAACCAUUUGCCAAGGGAUUUUUUUCAUUAAUCAGAAAGAAAGGGUAGGGUUUUCGAAAACGAUUAGAUACCCGUUGUUAGUCUUUAAAGUAAACUUUCCCCAACAAG